UCGUGGAGUGAUUUGUCUGGUUGAUUCCGAUAACGAACGAGACCCCCGCCUGCUAACUAGGUGGUUCUAUCUUCGGAUAGUCCGCCUUCUUAGAGGGACAACUGGCGCAAGUCAGGGGAAGUGGGGGGCAACUACA
This 136-nucleotide ribosomal RNA is filed under the name uncultured eukaryote. RNAcentral describes it as "partial 18S ribosomal RNA". It matches the Rfam family "Eukaryotic small subunit ribosomal RNA", at positions 1299 to 1458 of the family's 1831-position model. The record is from RNAcentral.